AUGGCGUCCCUCCUGGAGAUCUUCGUGGGAUCCUGUUCCUCCUCGGCGCCGCCGGUGGACUGGGAGGCGGAGGCCUACCCGGAGUACGCCGACUACGCCGUCCUCCCCCUGCUCCUCGCCUUCUUCCCCGCCCUGCGCCUCCUCCUCAACCAGUUCCUCUUCGAGGUGUUAGCAAGACGACUUAUAUUUGGAAAGGGAUAUGACAAGCUUGUUGAAACAGAUGAAAGGAGAAAGAAAAUCAAUAAAUUUAAGGAAUCGGCAUGGAAAUUUGUUUAUUAUCUUUCUGCAGAACUCUUUUCACUAUCUGUAACAUACAAUGAAUCGUGGUUUACAAAUACAAGAUACUUUUGGGUAGGGCCUGGCGAGCAGCUGUGGCCUGACCAAAAGAUGAAGCUAAAGCUUAAGGCUGUAUACAUGUAUGCCGCUGGAUUUUACGUAUAUUCUAUCUUUGAUCUUCUGUUCUGGGAAACAAGACGCAAGGACUUCGGAGUCAUGAUGUCUCACCAUGUGGCAACUGUUGUUCUGAUUGUUGUGUCCUAUAUUUGCAGAUUAUCUCGUCCUGGCUCGGUCAUUUUACCCCUCCAUGAUGCAAGUGAUAUAUUCCUAGAGAUUGGAAAGAUGGCCAAGUACAGUAGCUGUGAGUGGCUAGCUGUUGUAGCAUUUCUACUUUUUGUGGCUUCAUGGAUCCUUCUUCGGCUAAUAGUGUUUCCUUUCUGGAUCCUAAGAAGCACCAGUUAUGAAAUAGCUAUGAUCGUGGACAACGAGAACAGAAAAAUCUACAGAACCUCGUACUACUAUCUCUUCAACACUCUCUUGUUUUCACUUCUGGUCUUUCACAUAUAUUGGUGGGUACUGAUUUACCGGAUGCUCGUCAAACAAAUUCAAUCCAGAGGUCAUGUUGGUGAGGAUGUCCGAUCCGCUGCCCCUGCUAUUAAACAGAUUCUGAAGGCGAAAACAACCAUGAAGAUUAAGCUGAAGGUUGUUGGAUGCUUAACUGAAGAACUGUAUAGUUCGCAGUUGGGAAUGAGAAUGGUGCAAGUGGGUUGUAUAAAGAAUGAGAAUGUCAAGGAGGAGCUAGUUAGCAUAUCCAUCAGUAGGAAAUUCAGGCACAAAACGAAAACUGAAAAGGCUCGAAUCUCGGUGCCACUGGAACAAGCCUCCUUGAUAUGUAUCUUUUUUGUAUAUUGA
RNAcentral lists this ribosomal RNA (1188 nucleotides) under Triticum aestivum (bread wheat). RNAcentral describes it as "partial small subunit ribosomal RNA". The record is from RNAcentral. Lineage: Eukaryota; Viridiplantae; Streptophyta; Magnoliopsida; Poales; Poaceae.